Molecule: ribosomal RNA, 822 nt
Filed under: Triticum aestivum (bread wheat)
Lineage: Eukaryota; Viridiplantae; Streptophyta; Magnoliopsida; Poales; Poaceae
Description: partial small subunit ribosomal RNA
Source: RNAcentral
AUGCCUUCCUGGAACAACGAAGAAACGAGCUCGGAGGAGGAGUGCGAGGUCGUCAGCAUGGACAUGGGACUUAUGGAGGAACCAGACACCACUGUGGAGCCCCUUUUCUGUGGCCAACUUGAGCUUGCUCAUCCCAAGUGCAUUCUGCACCAAAUGAGGCCUAUUAAGCGUGUUGCUUUUGAAGGGCCUGUAACAGGAAGGCGUUUCUAUGGCUGCCCAGUCCAGGAAAAUGGUGUGAAUUGUGGUGUUGUAGAGUGGGUUGAUGGGCCUUGGCCAAUUGUUCUUCAGAGAUGUUUGUGCAAGCUAUGGGAGAUGUUCCAUGAGCAGAACUUUGGAAGGGUACAGGACAAGGAGAAUUUUGAGAAGGAGUUGGCCAGGCUUAAGAGUGAACAUGAAAGGGAGUUGGCCAAGCUUAGGACUGCAAAUGACAAGCUUUGCAUUGAGUACACCAAGCUUGUUGAUGAUGUAUCCAAGAUGUUUGAUUGGCAGGAUUGUAGGGUGGACAAGCAGAUGUACCAAAAACAAGUGGAGGAGGAAGAACUUGAGAAGAAGAAGAAGAAGAAGAAGAAGGAGCUAGAGGAGAAAGCUAUGUUGGAGGUGCAGAUGGAAAAGCUCAAACUUGCAAAAGAGCAGAGGUGCAUUUUGCAGAGCCAAGCUGAUAUCAUCAAGAACACCAGGAAGGCUAUGAAGGAUGUUAAAGUUGACAGAGAUGUUCUUAAGAAGGAGAAGGCAAAGCUUGAGCUUGUUGUUGCUGAGUUGCUGAAAGAAGGGUAUGGCAGCAAGGAGAAGUUAGAGCAAAUCAAGGCCAUCCUUGAGUCUUGA